This 2137-nucleotide long non-coding RNA is filed under the name Mus musculus (house mouse). RNAcentral describes it as "predicted gene 45554". The record is from RNAcentral. Lineage: Eukaryota; Metazoa; Chordata; Mammalia; Rodentia; Muridae.
UCCCAACAUUCUAAUGUUAAGCGUUACAAAAUCAGGCUGCAAGAAUUCUAUUUACUAUGAUUUAAUAUCUCCAAGGAAAAGGUAAGAGUCUCCAUAGAACAGUUAAAUUCUACCAGCUACAAGUACUGCGAACUGUUCAAUGGCUGAGAAUGCUUUAAUUUAUUUAAUUUUUAUCUACUUAUGAAAAUGUUAUUAGUAUGCCUGUUUCCUGGAUAAAGAGAUUUAACCAAAGUGCUACUGCACACAAGCAUUGCAGGAUGGAACAGAGCCGAUUUUUGUGGUCCUCCUGCCUUGACAGAAGGAUCAUGGUCAAGCUGUGAUUGUCAGAUUACAAUAGUGCCGGCUUCCCUCAGCUGGGAUAGGAGUGACCUGAGAUCUCACAGGAAUACUAGUGAGAGUCCUAGGGCUCCUUGCUGCCCCUGUCAGAUCGAAUAUACGAGGAUUACUUAGGAGAAAUACCCAAAGCUGCAACUGUAACUCCAAAGACUGGGACAUCUCUCAAGAGGAAAAAACCUGAGAGAUGUGAUGAACAUCUAUGGGGAAACAGAGCGUUGAUGGGAGCCUAUCUAAUUCCCUUGACUAGCACAGUAACUACUGAAAGAGGAGCAACAAUUUAAUUUCCACAAACAACAAAGAACACAAGUACAAGCGCAUCACUGCGUCUCUUCUCCUUCUUGUGAUUAUGUUACCAUCCUCAAAUGAGAGCUUUCCUCAGGAGCAGAAGAGCCCGGAUAAAGCAGGAAAAUCUUGCAUUAUUUUAACAAAAAAGGCAGUGUUCCAUCUUCAUCCCCAGAGUCCUAGGUGUAGCAGAGAAUGAAAUUAGCAUAAAACAGAAUUACAGAAUUGAAAAAAAUGAAAAAAAUUAAUCAAUAUAAAGUUUUAGGUGGCACAGGAGUCUUUAUAAAGAAAUAAAGAUUCAACAAAGCAGAGAUAAGUUAUUACUAUAUUGAGCUGGACAAUGAAAAAGGAGUAAGUCACGAAGAAGCAGAGAAAUUGUAUGAAGAGGGUUUAGAGUUAAGAGUUAUUUUAACAAGGUCUGUGUAGAACUCUUUGAACUUGACACUUAAUCCUUGAGGAAAGGAACACCAUUCCUUUUGGUGUAGGCAGGGGCCCUUCACCUAGGAUUCCCAUCCCAUGCAACUAAGAAACAAAAAGACACCAGAAUAGUCUUCUUGUGCCUGCUGUUUUUCCAAAUGCCUCUAAUUCAGAAUGGUCAAUAUGCUGGCAAGGUAUAUAUUUAACCUCUUCAGUAUCCUCUUCCAAAUGCAUUGAUUAUUUUCAUGCUUUAUGAAAUUAUUUUUACUAUAGAUCCAGUAUUCUUUUAACCACAAUAGUAGAUAUUUGUCAUGGAUCUAUUUAUCUAUGUUAUAAGAACUAUCUUAAAAUAGCAUAACAAUUUAUCUUUAGUUUAAUCCUAAUCAAAACCAUUUACACAGAAAUGGAUGUGAUGGCAAUUCUUAGAGUUCAGAAAGUUUUUAGAAAUGAAACGCGUAACAGAUGUUCCAUAUAUAUCUUCUAGUAAAAUAUAUCAGUUACAUGAAAAAAGAAAUAUGAUAUUCAGAAAAAUUGAAAUAGACAAAAUAUAAUUAACCCAGCUGAAGUUUAGCCAAAUUAAUACAGUUUGUCCUAGUGAAGCAAAAGGCAGUGUCUCAUUUGUGCCAAUAUCAAGGAAAGUUUUAAAAUGAAAUUAUAUGAAGGCAAUUGAACAGUUAUAAUGUCUAUUCAUUGCAUAGCUAAGAGAAUUAAUUUCAGCUUUUAUUAGCUUAUAAAAUAGAAGACAAUUCUUGCACAGCAUUCUCUGUUUUUAGGGAGAAGCAGCUUUAGUAUAUAUUUUGAGCACCCCAGCUCAAUAGUUUUUUGAAGACCCUGGUAUACAGUGCUCCUUUUAUAGCAUCGCUCCAAAUGUCAUAUCAUAUCAUAAGCAAACUGGGGAGGAGAAGGGCUUCUCUUACUUAAGGCAGUUUCUGCAGUACUGAACAGUGAAUGAGCAUUGUGUGGCAGCCAUCCAGAAAUAAUAAAAUCAAGUCCCUAUAAUAUUAAAAAGUAUGCUAUGCUUAAAUAUGUUGCUCUCAUUGCUAAGAUAUAUUUUUAUUUGCUCAAGUUAAAUUCUAGUCAUGAUCAAAAGAUAUUAGCUCAA